This 254-nucleotide ribosomal RNA is filed under the name uncultured bacterium. RNAcentral describes it as "partial 16S ribosomal RNA". It matches the Rfam family "Bacterial small subunit ribosomal RNA", at positions 524 to 776 of the family's 1533-position model. The record is from RNAcentral.
UACGGGGGGGGGCAAGCGUUGUUCGGAAUUACUGGGCGUAAAGGGCUCGUAGGCGGCCAACUAAGUCAGACGUGAAAUCCCUCGGCUUAACCGGGGAACUGCGUCUGAUACUGGAUGGCUUGAGUUUGGGAGGGGGAUGCGGAAUUCCAGGUGUAGCGGUGAAAUGCGUAGAUAUUCGCAAGAACACCAGUGGCGAAGGCGGCUCACUGGCCCGAUACUGACGCUGAGGCACGAAAGCGUGGGGAGCGAACAGG